This 436-nucleotide ribosomal RNA is filed under the name uncultured bacterium. Its description in RNAcentral is "bacterial SSU rRNA". It matches the Rfam family "Bacterial small subunit ribosomal RNA", at positions 354 to 796 of the family's 1533-position model. The record is from RNAcentral.
GUCGAGGAUCUUCGGCAAUGGGCGCAAGCCUGACCGAGCGACGCCGCGUGUGCGAUGAAGGCCUUCGGGUUGUAAAGCACUGUCGAGGGGGAGGAAAGCCCGCAAGGGUCUGACCUAUCCCUGGAGGAAGCACGGGCUAAGUUCGUGCCAGCAGCCGCGGUAAGACGAACCGUGCGAACGUUGUUCGGAAUCACUGGGCUUAAAGGGCGCGUAGGCGGGUUCUCCAGUCAGGGGUGAAAUCUUUCGGCUCAACCGGAAAAGUGCCCCUGAUACUGAGAGUCUCGAGGGAGGUAGGGGCAUGUGGAACUUCCGGUGGAGCGGUGAAAUGCGUAGAUAUCGGAAGGAACGCCGGUGGCGAAAGCGACGUGCUGGACCUCUUCUGACGCUGAGGCGCGAAAGCCAGGGGAGCAAACGGGAUUAGAAACCCUGGUAGUCC